GGGGUUGUGGCUCAGUGGUAGAGUACUCGCCUCCCAUGUGUGAGGCCCUGGGUUCAAUCCUCAGCACCA
RNAcentral lists this transfer RNA (69 nucleotides) under Ictidomys tridecemlineatus (thirteen-lined ground squirrel). Its description in RNAcentral is "Spermophilus tridecemlineatus (thirteen-lined ground squirrel) tRNA". It matches the Rfam family "tRNA". Rfam says of the family: Transfer RNA (tRNA) molecules are approximately 80 nucleotides in length. Their secondary structure includes four short double-helical elements and three loops (D, anti-codon, and T loops). Lineage: Eukaryota; Metazoa; Chordata; Mammalia; Rodentia; Sciuridae. The record is from Rfam by way of RNAcentral.